Drosophila rhopaloa is the source of this 528-nucleotide long non-coding RNA. RefSeq lists it as uncharacterized. The transcript has 3 exons. The record is from RefSeq and is a predicted model, not a curated record. Lineage: Eukaryota; Metazoa; Arthropoda; Insecta; Diptera; Drosophilidae.
AAAAGUCAAUUUUUGCUGAGAGCGAGAGCAAUCUCUCUCUCGUUUGAUCUCUCUCGUAGUCUUCGGUAUUCUUGGGAACUCCAAGUAUUUGGAGAGGCAUGCGAAAGAAAGAGAUAGCAAGUUCAAUAGUGCGCAGUUAUCUUAAAUUUUCGGUAAAAUGUACCAUGCCAUGCUCGGUGCGUACAUUUUAGCAAUUGAGUCGAGAACGUCGAGAGAGCAACAGUGAAAAGUUUCAACAGUGAACGUGAAAGUGAAAAUGUGUAAAACUCCGGAUAGGUUGCUAAACCUGCUGAAAGAGUUUCAACUUGAAAAAGUGCACGACUAUCUAAUCGAUUGAAAUUGACUUUCAAAUGCUCUAUCCUGGCAAAGGUCAUUUGCUUUUGUCGAAGUGGGAAGAAUUCAAAGUCAAAAUUUUGACUCAUUACUCAACCCACCUUCGUAACGACAUUUGUUAACAAGAACUGGCAGUAGCAAAGUCGUCUACAAAUAAAGAUCUCCAAGACUUCCUUGUAUCGAUAUUAUUAAAAA